Molecule: ribosomal RNA, 393 nt
Filed under: uncultured bacterium
Lineage: Bacteria
Description: bacterial SSU rRNA
Rfam family: Bacterial small subunit ribosomal RNA
Source: RNAcentral
GACGAACGCUGGCGGCGUGCUUAACACAUGCAAGUCGAGCGGUAAGGCCCUUUCGGGGGUACACGAGCGGCGAACGGGUGAGUAACACGUGGGUGACCUGCCCUCAGCUCUGGGAUAAGCCUGGGAAACCGGGUCUAAUACUGGAUAUGACUCCAUGACGCAUGUUGUGGGGUGGAAAGCCUUGUGCGGCUGAGGAUGGGGCCCCGCGGCCUAUCAGCUUGUUGGUGGGGUGANGGCCUACCAAGGCGACGACGGGUAGCCGGCCUGAGAGGGCGACCGGCCACACUGGGACUGAGACACGGCCCAGACUCCUACGGGAGGCAGCAGUGGGGAAUCUUGCGCAAUGGGCGAAAGCCUGACGCAGCGACGCCGCGUGAGGGAUGACGGCCUGGU